Molecule: ribosomal RNA, 197 nt
Filed under: uncultured bacterium
Lineage: Bacteria
Description: partial 16S ribosomal RNA
Rfam family: Bacterial small subunit ribosomal RNA
Source: RNAcentral
ACUCCUACGGGAGGCAGCAGUGGGGAAUUUUGGACAAUGGGGGCAACCCUGAUCCAGCAAUGCCGCGUGUGUGAAGAAGGCCUUCGGGUUGUAAAGCACCUUUGGCGGGAACGAAACGGCGCUUGCUAAUACCAGGCGCUAAUGACGGUACUCGCAGAAUAAGCACCGGCUAACUACGUGCCAGCAGCCGCGGUAAU